This 684-nucleotide unclassified non-coding RNA is filed under the name Hevea brasiliensis (rubber tree). The record is from RNAcentral. Lineage: Eukaryota; Viridiplantae; Streptophyta; Magnoliopsida; Malpighiales; Euphorbiaceae.
GGACAAUGGCGGCGGCGGCGGCGAGGACGGUGGGUUCUGGGGUGGUGUUGCCGCGGUCGGUGACAUUUGUCACCGGAAAUGCUAAAAAAUUGGAGGAAGUUAGGACAAUCCUUGGGCAGUCUAUUCCAUUUCAGUCCCUUAAGCUUGACUUGCCAGAACUUCAAGGUGAGCCUGAAGAUAUAUCCAAAGAAAAAGCAAGAAUUGCUGCUAAAGAGGUGAAUGGACCAGUGCUAGUUGAGGAUACUUGUCUUUGUUUCAACGCUCUUAAGGGUCUCCCAGGGCCUUACAUCAAGUGGUUUUUGCAGAAGAUCGGUCAUGAAGGUCUCAACAACUUAUUGAUGGCUUAUGAGGAUAAAACAGCAUAUGCCAUGUGUAUCUUUUCUCUAGCUCUUGGGCCAAAUGCAGAGCCAAUGACUUUUGUAGGAAAAACGCAGGGAAGGAUAGUACCAGCUAGGGGACCCAAUGAUUUCGGAUGGGAUCCGAUAUUUCAACCUCAUGGCUAUGACCAGACUUACGCUGAGAUGCCCAAUGAAGAAAAGCACAAGAUUUCUCACCGAGGUAAAGCUCUUGAACUAGUGAAGUUACACUUUGCUGAGGCUCGAUACACUUUCCAGACCGACUCCACUACCUAAGACUACAAUCUAUGCCUCGGUAGUGACAUGAUCUUCAUGUUCUUGCUCAAGA